AUGCAUACAUCAAUAAAAACUCUGGAGCUCAAAAACUCACACACAUGCUUUCUCACACAAAAUUCAUUCAUACACCCUGCCUAGCAUCAUGACCACAAUCAUAAAUUCAUCACACAUCUAUUUCCUGGAUAUCAACAUGCAUUACAACUCAAAUCUCAUCCACAUCAAAUAAUCAUCAAAUAGACCCAUCAUGCACAUCAGUCAGUCAAACAUUUUCAGAACAAAUGUUAAAGCCAAGAGUACACACCAAAAUUAAAAUUCAACCUAUUCUAAGAAAUAAAGAAAACUCAAAUAAAAUAAACUAAAAUAAAAUAAAAUAAAAAAUAAAAGUAAAAGAAAGAAAAACUAAAUCCUGUCUAUGUUGUCAUCGGAGUCCUCCUGACUCUCAUCAUCCUCGUCCUCAAAGUUCUCCUCCUCAGUGUUAGGAGCUCCAACUGCUCCAAAAUCACUACUCUGCGCCUGCUGCUCAGGCCAUGCCACAGUUGUAUGAAACUCAUCCAUGGUCCACCUGUGCUCUGGUGGCUGGUCAUAUAAUCCAAUGAUCAUCUCAGCCGCCGUCACCUGCCCUCUGUGAAGGGCCUCCAUCCGGGCCUCCAUCAUGGACAUGUACAUGUCCCUCAUCUAGAAGGGCUCCGCGUGCUGAACUGGUACCUCAUCGGGCACCUGCUCCUGCUGAGCUGCACCUCUCCUACGACACCUUCGGGGUGCUACCCCUACUGCAUCUGUUGCUC
This 731-nucleotide long non-coding RNA is filed under the name Vigna radiata. RNAcentral's name for it is "long non-coding RNA (VRAD_LNC005311)". The record is from RNAcentral. Lineage: Eukaryota; Viridiplantae; Streptophyta; Magnoliopsida; Fabales; Fabaceae.